Molecule: ribosomal RNA, 253 nt
Filed under: uncultured bacterium
Lineage: Bacteria
Description: partial 16S ribosomal RNA
Rfam family: Bacterial small subunit ribosomal RNA
Source: RNAcentral
UACGUAGGUGGCAAGCGUUGUCCGGAUUUAUUGGGUUUAAAGGGUGCGUAGGCGGUCUAUUAAGUCAGUGCUGAAAUAUCCCGGCUUAACCGGGAGGGUGGCAUUGAUACUGAUGGACUUGAGUAAAGUUGAGGUUGGCGGAAUUGACGGUGUAGCGGUGAAAUGCUUAGAUAUCGUCAAGAACACCUAUUGCGAAGGCAGCUAACUAAGCUUUAACUGACGCUGAGGCACGAAAGUGUGGGGAUCAAACAGG